GCGGCCAUAGGACCCUGAAAGCACUGCAUCCCGUCCGAUCUGCAAAGUUAAGCAGCGGGUUACCGCCUAGCUAGUACUGCGGUGGGGGACCACGCGGGAAUCCUAGGUGCUGCAGUUU
This 118-nucleotide ribosomal RNA is filed under the name Pseudozyma flocculosa. The record is from RNAcentral. Lineage: Eukaryota; Fungi; Basidiomycota; Ustilaginomycetes; Ustilaginales; Ustilaginaceae.